Molecule: long non-coding RNA, 386 nt
Organism: Oncorhynchus tshawytscha (Chinook salmon)
Lineage: Eukaryota; Metazoa; Chordata; Actinopteri; Salmoniformes; Salmonidae
Source: Ensembl
GGUGUGGUAGGGUGGGGCGAGGUAGGGUGGGGUGUGGUAGGGUGGGGUAAGGUAGGGUGGAGUGAGAUGGGGUGAGGUAGGGCGGGGUAAGGCAGGGUGAGGUGGGGUAGGGUGAGGUAGGGUGGGGUGAGGUAUGGUAGGGUGGGGUAGGGUGAGGUAGGGCGAGGUGAGAUAGGAUGGGGUGAGGUGAGGUAGGGUGGGGUGGGGUAGGGUGAGGUGGGGUGAGGUAGGGUGGGGUGAGGUAGGGUGAGGUAGGGUGGGGUGAGGUAGGGCGGGGUGAGGUAGGGUGGGGUGAGGUAGGGUGGGGUACGGUAGAGUGAGGUGAGGUAGGGUGGGGUGAGGUAGGGUGGGGCGAGGUAGUGUAGGGUGGGGUAGGAUGAGGUGAG